RNAcentral lists this ribosomal RNA (1491 nucleotides) under uncultured bacterium. RNAcentral's name for it is "bacterial SSU rRNA". It matches the Rfam family "Bacterial small subunit ribosomal RNA". The record is from RNAcentral.
AUGGCUCAGACUUUCGCUGGCGGCAGGCCUAACACAUGCAAGUCGAACGGUAACAGGAAGCAGCUUGCUGCUUUGCUGACGAGUGGCGGACGGGUGAGUAAUGUCUGGGAAACUGCCUGAUGGAGGGGGAUAACUACUGGAAACGGUAGCUAAUACCGCAUAACGUCGCAAGACCAAAGAGGGGGACCUUAGGGCCUCUUGCCAUCGGAUGUGCCCAGAUGGGAUUAGCUAGUAGGUGGGGUAACGGCUCACCUAGGCGACGAUCCCUAGCUGGUCUGAGAGGAUGACCAGCCACACUGGAACUGAGACACGGUCCAGACUCCUACGGGAGGCAGCAGUGGGGAAUAUUGCACAAUGGGCGCAAGCCUGAUGCAGCCAUGCCGCGUGUAUGAAGAAGGCCUUCGGGUUGUAAAGUACUUUCAGCGGGGAGGAAGGGAGUAAAGUUAAUACCUUUGCUCAUUGACGUUACCCGCAGAAGAAGCACCGGCUAACUCCGUGCCAGCAGCCGCGGUAAUACGGAGGGUGCAAGCGUUAAUCGGAAUUACUGGGCGUAAAGCGCACGCAGGCGGUUUGUUAAGUCAGAUGUGAAAUCCCCGGGCUCAACCUGGGAACUGCAUCUGAUACUGGCAAGCUUGAGUCUCGUAGAGGGGGGUAGAAUUCCAGGUGUAGCGGUGAAAUGCGUAGAGAUCUGGAGGAAUACCGGUGGCGAAGGCGGCCCCCUGGACGAAGACUGACGCUCAGGUGCGAAAGCGUGGGGAGCAAACAGGAUUAGAUACCCUGGUAGUCCACGCCGUAAACGAUGUCGACUUUGAGGUUGUGCCCUUGAGGCGUGGCUUCCGGAGCUAACGCGUUAAGUCGACCGCCUGGGGAGUACGGCCGCAAGGUUAAAACUCAAAUGAAUUGACGGGGGCCCGCACAAGCGGUGGAGCAUGUGGUUUAAUUCGAUGCAACGCGAAGAACCUUACCUGGUCUUGACAUCCACGGAAGUUUUCAGAGAUGAGAAUGUGCCUUCGGGAACCGUGAGACAGGUGCUGCAUGGCUGUCGUCAGCUCGUGUUGUGAAAUGUUGGGUUAAGUCCCGCAACGAGCGCAACCCUUAUCCUUUGUUGCCAGCGGUCCGGCCGGGAACUCAAAGGAGACUGCCAGUGAUAAACUGGAGGAAGGUGGGGAUGACGUCAAGUCAUCAUGGCCCUUACGACCAGGGCUACACACGUGCUACAAUGGCGCAUACAAAGAGAAGCGACCUCGCGAGAGCAAGCGGACCUCAUAAAGUGCGUCGUAGUCCGGAUUGGAGUCUGCAACUCGACUCCAUGAAGUCGGAAUCGCUAGUAAUCGUGGAUCAGAAUGCCACGGUGAAUACGUUCCCGGGCCUUGUACACACCGCCCGUCACACCAUGGGAGUGGGUUGCAAAAGAAGUAGGUAGCUUAACCUUCGGGAGGGCGCUUACCACUUUGUGAUUCAUGACUGGGGUGAAGUCGUAACAAGGUAGCC